UGGCGAACGGGUGAGUAACACGUGGGCAAUCUGCCCUGCACUCUGGGACAAGCCCUGGAAACGGGGUCUAAUACCGGAUAUGACCACCGGCCGCAUGGUCUGGUGGUGGAAAGCUCCGGCGGUGCAGGAUGAGCCCGCGGCCUAUCAGCUUGUUGGUGGGGUGAUGGCCUACCAAGGCGACGACGGGUAGCCGGCCUGAGAGGGCGACCGGCCACACUGGGACUGAGACACGGCCCAGACUCCUACGGGAGGCAGCAGUGGGGAAUAUUGCACAAUGGGCGCAAGCCUGAUGCAGCGACGCCGCGUGAGGGAUGACGGCCUUCGGGUUGUAAACCUCUUUCAGCAGGGAAGAAGCGCGAGUGACGGUACCUGCAGAAGAAGCACCGGCUAACUACGUGCCAGCAGCCGCGGUAAUACGUAGGGUGCGAGCGUUGUCCGGAAUUAUUGGGCGUAAAGAGCUCGUAGGCGGCCUGUCGCGUCGGAUGUGAAAGCCCGGGGCUUAACCCCGGGUCUGCAUUCGAUACGGGCAGGCUAGAGUUCGGCAGGGGAGAUUGGAAUUCCUGGUGUAGCGGUGAAAUGCGCAGAUAUCAGGAGGAACACCGGUGGCGAAGGCGGAUCUCUGGGCCGAUACUGACGCUGAGGAGCGAAAGCGUGGGGAGCGAACAGGAUUAGAUACCCUGGUAGUCCACGCCGUAAACGUUGGGCACUAGGUGUGGGCGGCAUUCCACGUCGUCCGUGCCGCAGCUAACGCAUU
RNAcentral lists this ribosomal RNA (754 nucleotides) under Streptomyces cacaoi. RNAcentral's name for it is "bacterial SSU rRNA". It matches the Rfam family "Bacterial small subunit ribosomal RNA", at positions 96 to 861 of the family's 1533-position model. The record is from RNAcentral. Lineage: Bacteria; Bacillati; Actinomycetota; Actinomycetes; Kitasatosporales; Streptomycetaceae.